RNAcentral lists this non-coding RNA (30 nucleotides) under Rattus norvegicus (Norway rat). Lineage: Eukaryota; Metazoa; Chordata; Mammalia; Rodentia; Muridae. The record is from RNAcentral.
UCCUAGUAGGAAUAUGGAAGACGAAGACGU